CUGCCAUUUAUCUUCCAAGAAGCAAAGGAAUCCAUUGAUGAAGAAGAUCCUAGGCCUACAAGCUCCAAUGGAGCUUACAUUAUGUGGUAUCAAGAGCAUCUUCAUCUAGGUGAUGUUCUUUUGUUUCCUCUAUCUUUUUGUUUGGUGAAUUCUCUUUAAUUCCUUGUUCUUCAUCUUAUUCUCCAUGUAUAUCCUCCAUUUUCUUGUGGUUUGGUGCUGUUUAGAGUAGAUUAAAAAAAAAUAAACCGAUUAAAUCUUAGAUCUACACCUGUUUUUGCAUUUCUAUGGUUCAAAAUUUGUAGAUCUACUCUUGAAUCUUGUUUUUGUGUUGAUUUUAGGUUCUAUCAAUUUUCAUUCAUAAUAUUCUUGUGCUGAACCUUUAGAUCUAAAUUUUGUUCCAAAAUAUUGAUUAGAAAAAAAAAACAAAAAUCUAAGUGUAAAUCACUUAAUCCAUGUUGUCUUAGAGUCAUGUUUAGUCAUAGUAAUUGUCACAUUAUGUUCUAAGUUUGUGUCGAAUUUUAUUUUGUUGAUUGAAUUCUAGAUACAUUUGUUCAUGUAUUCUUGUCAUUCUUAGCCUAUCUUUUUAAUUUUGAGUCUAAUUCAUGCAUGUUAUUUAGUUCAUAACAUGUUCUAAAUCAAUUCCUAGAAGUAGUCCUUUUCUUGAACUUUUUUUUUGCUUUCUAAGUUUCCUACAUGAUGCCUAUGAUGAAGUUGAGUUGUGGUGCUGAGUUGUGGUUGGAUUUGUGAAUCAAAAUAAGUCUUAAGCUCUCUUUAAUUGUGUUAUUCAAGAUAAUUGAGCAUAAGCAAACACAAAUUGUAACUAUCCAAGCCUUAAGCAACAUAAACACUACUCUUGAUUUCUAGGUUGAAAUCGCUGGUGCUGGCAGCUUGAACAUACGAACUUGUAUAAAUUACUGGGAAUUGGUCACUAUGUUUUUUGAGCUGAAAGUUUUACUGAAUUUUAUAGACAUCUGGACCAAAAUUAUAAAAAAAUAACCAAGCGAUUUGAAUUAAAGGAAAAAAUAAGAAAAAUCUCACAAGUUGGCCGAAAAAUCAGUGUCCAGGGAAAAAAAAAGGAAAAGUGAAAGGAAAGUGUGCUUGUUGUUUUGGCUCAAAAUUUGUUCUAUAAUUGGUGCCUAUUUUAUACCAAUCCUAGUUCUGAAAUUUCAAUUGAAAAUUAUUGUGAAAACAAGUGCCAAAACUAGAGGUUUCUUGAGUCUUUUUUUUUAGAGUUUUUCUACUCUACUCUAGAGCCAUUCUAGGUUUCUCUUUGAGUCCUAGCUUGCUUUUUUGUGCUUUUCAUUGCUUUAAUUGUUGAAUAAUCCUUGGAAAUUUGUCUUGUUAAAACUCUAUUGGUUUAGCUUUCAUUUCAUUUUUUUUUUUGUCUUUGGUUAUUGCUUGUCUCUUUGUUUCCUUGCUUGUGAGUUGCCAUAUAGGGAAUUGGAAAGGAGGAUUGGUGCCAUAUCUUGAAGAAUUUGAGUCAAGAAGCAAGGGGCCAACCACCUUAAGAGCUAUUGGACUAAGAAGCACUCCAAAUUGAGUGAAACACUAAAGAGAGAAUAGCCACACAAUUGAGGACUUUUUUCUUUGUAAUUUUGUAAUUGGCAAUUUGCUUUGCUUUCAAAUUUUGUAACAAAAAGGCCUUUCAUUGGAAGUAAGUUGGGAGCCUCCGCUAGGUCACCCUACUUCCAUUUGUGUGUAAUAAUUUUAGGCAAUUUUCCCUUAGGAUAGUGAGUGUUUUGUUGGGAACCUUAAAUGAGGUCAUCCAAACACUCUUAGGAUCCGCCUAGUUUGCAUUUCUUGCACUUUAAUUUCUUGCUUACUUUCAUAGCUUAUUUCCUUUACCCUCCAUUGUCAAACCGCCUAGAUAGCUUUCCUUUUACCAAUUAGUUUUUACCUUAUCUUUCACACCUCUUUUAGUGUUUAUUUUGGCUAGUUUCAACCAUAGUUUAUUUUACCUUUUGUUUUCAAACCCCCAACAAGAAAGAACCAUAACUUAGGAACCAACAUGAGUCUUCAUUCUUCAUCUAGUGUUAAUGGUGAGGGUUCUACUCCUAAGGACCCCUUGUAUAAGAUAUUAGAUGAGUUGAGAUCCCUUAAGUUGUGGAAAGAAAAACAAGAGAGAAAAGAAAAAGGAAAAAAAAGAGCGAAAGAAAUAAGUCAAGAUGAAAAGGAGAAAAUAAGGGAAGAUGAAAGAAGGAAAAUACUAAAAGAGUUAAGAAAAGAAAAACAUGCCUCCUAUAGUAGUCAUAACUCUUGCAAGAGCCUAAGUGAAGAACUUCGUGACUAUUAUGAAGGAAGACAUAGGUCACAUCUUAGACCUCACUCCCAUAGGAGAGAAAAUGGAAGAAAGCCUCAAGAGGUUAACAUUAAACUCCCAUACUUCCAUGGGAAGGACAAUGUAGAGGCUAAUUUAGAUUGGGAAAUAAGGGUAGAGCAACAACUUAAAAGGAAGUCUACUUCAAAAUCUUAUGGAUCUCACUCUUAUCCAAAGAAAGACCAAGGUCAAGGAAUCUUAGGGGUGAGACCUUCUAAGCCCAAAGAUGAUAAGGGGAAGACAAUAGAAAAGCAACCCCUUAAGGCUAGUAUGCAAGAGAAGACUAGCUCCAUGAAGUGCUUUAAAUGUCUUGGAAGAGGACACAUUACUUCUCAAUGCCCCACCAAGAAAACCAUGAUUAUGAGGGGCCAAGACAUUUAUAGUAGCCAAGAUGAGGCUACUACUUCACCUUCCUCUAGUAAAAGUGAAGAAGCAAAAGGGGAAGAAUCUAGUGAAGAGAUCUACCCCCAAGAAGAAGGACAACCUUUAAUGGUUAAGGAGGAGUGUAAGGAGGUAAGUGUCUCCUCCAAGAGGUUAGCUAUGAAGGAAAGACAUUUUGAAAUAAAGACAAAUAUUAAAGAAAUUUCCCUUCUUAGACAACCUCCACAUUUUCUCCUUUGUAAAAAGACACUUGUUAGCAUUGCCACAUCUCUUAGGCUUGAGUUUAUUCCUCAAGUAAAGGAGUUGUUGGAUGAGGGUUUGGUUCGCAAGAGAUUAAAUCCUCGUGCUUUGUUGGUGCCCAAAAUAGGUAUUAUUAGGCACCAAAUCCCUAAAAUAGGUGGUGUGAUGAAUGCUUUGGGUGGUGCAACACUCUUUUGUAAAAUCACUCGUGCACCCAACAUCUUCAUGAUUUGUGUACAUUGGGACUCAUUAGGUAGGUUUGUUCUUAUUUUUAGUUUCAAUACAAACUUAGUCACUCAUAUGGGACACCUUAGGUUUGUCAUACUUUUUGGUAGGAAUAAUCAACAUGAAAAUACAGAAAAAGGUAUGUUCUAUUGCUUUACUUUUCUUAAUUUUUUAAAUUGUGAGCAAGGGGUUCCCAUGAACCCUAAGAGAAUAAAUGUCAUUCCUGAGUGGCCCGCUCCACCAAGUGUAAGAAAAAUUUGGGGCUUCCAAGACUUAACAAACUUUUACAAAAGGUUUGCCCCAUAUUACUCUAUACUUGUAGCACCACUCAUUGAGUUGGUGAGGAACCAUGUUCCUUCAUGGGAAGAUGCCCAGGAAAUGAGUUUUCAGACCUUACCUUACUUCAACAUACUAAACACCACUAAUACAUAUGUUUUUGUUCUUUUUACAGGUGUUGAGGAAAAAAGCCAAGAGUUUCAAGAACCUCGGGAUUUGAGGUCAAAUCCUUUUCAAGGGGGAGGGAAUGAUGCAAUCCUACCCCGCAAGGGCAUUGGAUAGAAAACUCCAAGUAGAUUGGGCCAAAGAUGCAAGAGAAGGCCCUAGGGUUCUUAUGAGCCUUAGGGUAGAUUUCAGGCCCAUGGGCUAAGUAUGAGCCCACUUAUCUUUGUAAAUAUUAGAUUAAGGUUUCAUUAUUUUUGGGCCUUGUAUUUAGGGCUCCAUAAUGUAGGUAGGGUACCCUAGAAAUAUAGGAUUUUUCAGCCCUUGUAUUUUAGGGCACCUAGACUAGUUUUUGUAUUAGGGG
RNAcentral lists this long non-coding RNA (3965 nucleotides) under Glycine max (soybean). RNAcentral's name for it is "long non-coding RNA (GMAX_LNC001034)". The record is from RNAcentral. Lineage: Eukaryota; Viridiplantae; Streptophyta; Magnoliopsida; Fabales; Fabaceae.